AGCCCCGAAGUGGGACGUGUCGGCCGCAGGUAUCGCUCGGUCGGCCUGAGGUCCCCGGCCUGGUGGCCCCAGGACGUUCCCCUCGCAUGGCGGAGUGCUGCGGACCACGCCCAUGAAGCCCGCAGUCCUCCUACUCGCGCUGUUGCUCUGGCCUUCAUCCCUGCCGGCCUUCCCGAAGCCGGAGUCUCGCUAUGUUGCCCAGACUGGUCUCCAACUCCUGGCCUCAAGCCAUGCUUCCACCUCGGCCUCCCAAAGUUCUGUAUUAGUUUCUGCAUUUUUCAUGUAAAUAUGAAAUGCACCCCUUGGUGACUUUUGAAAAGGCAUGAAAUUCAAAUUUCACUGUUCAUAAAAUAAAAUUUUAUUGGAACCCAG
Molecule: long non-coding RNA, 372 nt
Organism: Carlito syrichta (Philippine tarsier)
Lineage: Eukaryota; Metazoa; Chordata; Mammalia; Primates; Tarsiidae
Exons: 2
Source: RefSeq, a predicted model, not a curated record